GUGAGUCAUCGAAUCUUUGAACGCACAUUGCGCCCCUUGGUAUUCCGAGGGGCAUGCCUGUUCGAGCGUCAUUUCACCACUCAAGCUCUGCUUGGUAUUGGGCGCCGUCCUUCACCGGACGCGCCUCAAAGACCUCGGCGGUGGCGUCUUGCCUCAAGCGUAGUAGAAAACACCUCGCUUUGGAGGACGGGACGUUCGCUCGCCGGACGAACCUUCUGAAUUUUCUCAAGGUUGACCUCGGAUCAGGUAGGGAUACCCGCUGAACUUAAGCAUAUCAAUAAGCGGAGGA
Molecule: unclassified non-coding RNA, 289 nt
Filed under: Endomelanconiopsis sp.
Lineage: Eukaryota; Fungi; Ascomycota; Dothideomycetes; Botryosphaeriales; Botryosphaeriaceae
Description: partial contains 5.8S ribosomal RNA, internal transcribed spacer 2, and large subunit ribosomal RNA
Rfam family: 5.8S ribosomal RNA (bases 1-71)
Source: RNAcentral